GGGGUCGUAGCUCAGCUGGUCAGAGCGCCACGUUGACAUCGUGGAGGUCGUAGGUUCGAGCCCUAUCGACCCCACCA
This 77-nucleotide transfer RNA is filed under the name Lachnospiraceae bacterium. RNAcentral describes it as "tRNA-Val". It matches the Rfam family "tRNA". From Rfam's summary of the family: Transfer RNA (tRNA) molecules are approximately 80 nucleotides in length. Their secondary structure includes four short double-helical elements and three loops (D, anti-codon, and T loops). The record is from RNAcentral. Lineage: Bacteria; Bacillati; Bacillota; Clostridia; Lachnospirales; Lachnospiraceae. RNAcentral also lists the same sequence under 5 other names.